AGUGAACGCUGGCGGUAGGCCUAACACAUGCAAGUCGAACGGCAGCACAGUAAGAGCUUGCUCUUACGGGUGGCGAGUGGCGGACGGGUGAGGAAUACAUCGGAAUCUACUUUUUCGUGGGGGAUAACGUAGGGAAACUUACGCUAAUACCGCAUACGACCUACGGGUGAAAGCAGGGGAUCUUCGGACCUUGCGCGAUUGAAUGAGCCGAUGUCGGAUUAGCUAGUUGGCGGGGUAAAGGCCCACCAAGGCGACGAUCCGUAGCUGGUCUGAGAGGAUGAUAAGCCACACUGGAACUGAGACACGGUCCAGACUCCUACGGGAGGCAGCAGUGGGGAAUAUUGGACAAUGGGCGCAAGCCUGAUCCAGACAUACCGCGUGGGUGAAGAAGGCCUUCGGGUUGUAAAGCCCUUUUGUUGGGAAAGAAAAGCAGCAGGUUAAUACCCCGCUGUUCUGACGGUGCCCAAAGAAUAAGCACCGGCUAACUUCGUG
This 492-nucleotide ribosomal RNA is filed under the name uncultured bacterium. RNAcentral's name for it is "partial 16S ribosomal RNA". It matches the Rfam family "Bacterial small subunit ribosomal RNA", at positions 29 to 507 of the family's 1533-position model. The record is from RNAcentral.